AUGGCUAAAUAUUGGUGGAGCAGCUCUCUGGAUAAAAUGACUUUGCACUGGAUUUCCUGGAAGGUGCUUGCAUCUCAAAAACUCAAAGGUGGAAUGGGAUUUCGUGACAUGGAACUCUUCAACCUAGCGCUUCUCGGUAAGCAUGGUUGGAGGUUCAUGGUCAAUCCUAAUUCUUUGUGUGGUCGUGGCAUGAAGGGCUGGUACUUCCCGAAUUCAAAUUUCUUGCAAGCUACACUACCGCAGUCUGCCUCUCUUAUUUGGUGAGCGAUUGUGGCCAGACGGGAGGCUCUUCACGCGGGCAUGAUCAUGCGUAUUGGUGAUGGUUGUACCAUCUCGAUUUGGGAUGACAAGUGGAUCCCAGGUACCAUCCGUAUGUGUCCUAUGUCUAGACCUACUAAUGUUUCUCUACAACCGUGA
Molecule: ribosomal RNA, 417 nt
Filed under: Triticum aestivum (bread wheat)
Lineage: Eukaryota; Viridiplantae; Streptophyta; Magnoliopsida; Poales; Poaceae
Description: partial small subunit ribosomal RNA
Source: RNAcentral